Molecule: ribosomal RNA, 465 nt
Filed under: uncultured bacterium
Lineage: Bacteria
Description: partial 16S ribosomal RNA
Rfam family: Bacterial small subunit ribosomal RNA
Source: RNAcentral
GACGAACGCUGGCGGCGUGCUUAACACAUGCAAGUCGAACGGUAAGGCUCCAGCUUGCUGGGGUACACGAGUGGCGAACGGGUGAGUAACACGUGGGUGACCUGCCCUGCACUUCGGGAUAAGCCUGGGAAACUGGGUCUAAUACCGGAUAGGACCGCACCGUGAGGGUGUGGUGGAAAGUCUUUUCGGUGUGGGAUGGGCCCGCGGCCUAUCAGCUUGUUGGUGGGGUAAUGGCCUACCAAGGCGGCGACGGGUAGCCGGCCUGAGAGGGUGGACGGCCACAUUGGGACUGAGACACGGCCCAGACUCCUACGGGAGGCAGCAGUGGGGAAUAUUGCACAAUGGGCGGAAGCCUGAUGCAGCGACGCCGCGUGGGGGAUGACGGCCUUCGGGUUGUAAACUCCUUUCACCAUCGACGAAGGGUUUCUGACGGUAGAUGGAGAAGAAGCACCGGCUAACUACGUG